AUCGAAUAAAGGCAAACCCAUCGAAAGGUGGGGACGCAAAGUCACCGGUCUAAGGGAUUUAUCCUAUGACAGCGGGAUUGCCGGA
RNAcentral lists this non-coding RNA (85 nucleotides) under Methylobacillus sp. RNAcentral describes it as "c-di-GMP sequence". It matches the Rfam family "c-di-GMP-I riboswitch aptamer". Rfam says of the family: GEMM was predicted in a large-scale screen for bacterial structured RNA regulatory elements. Genes associated with GEMM are involved in a diverse array of functions, including chemotaxis regulation, signal transduction, secretion and chitin. RNAcentral also lists the same sequence under 1 other name. The record is from RNAcentral. Lineage: Bacteria; Pseudomonadati; Pseudomonadota; Betaproteobacteria; Nitrosomonadales; Methylophilaceae.